This 474-nucleotide ribosomal RNA is filed under the name uncultured bacterium. RNAcentral's name for it is "SSU rRNA". It matches the Rfam family "Bacterial small subunit ribosomal RNA", at positions 26 to 523 of the family's 1533-position model. The record is from RNAcentral.
AGAGCGAACGCUGGCGGCAGGCCUAACACAUGCAAGUCGAGCGCCCCGCAAGGGGAGCGGCAGACGGGAGAGUAACACGUGGGAACGUGCCCUUUGGUUCGGAACAACACAGGGAAACUUGUGCUAAUACCGGAUAAGCCCUUACGGGGAAAGAUUUAUCGCCAAAGGAUCGGCCCGCGUCUGAUUAGCUAGUUGGUGAGGUAACGGCUCACCAAGGCUACGAUCAGUAGCUGGUCUGAGAGGAUGAUCAGCCUCACUGGGACUGAGACACGGCCCAGACUCCUACGGGAGGCAGCAGUGGGGAAUAUUGGACAAUGGGCGCAAGCCUGAUCCAGCCAUGCCGCGUGGGUGAUGAAGGCCCUAGGGUUGUAAAGCCCUGUCGGAGGGGAAGAAAGUCUGUUGGCUAAUAUCCAAUGGACCUUGACGGUACCCUCAAAGGAGCACCGGCUAACUCCGCGCCAGCAGCCGCGGUAA